Molecule: non-coding RNA, 505 nt
Organism: Labeo rohita (rohu)
Lineage: Eukaryota; Metazoa; Chordata; Actinopteri; Cypriniformes; Cyprinidae
Source: the annotation of a RefSeq genome assembly
CACUUCAUGACUGAGAGCAGAACAGAACAGAAUCUUCAUCAUCACACAAGACAAAACAACAACAAUGAACAACAUCAUCAUCCUCAUCUGGACACUCACACUGUUUGCUCAAGAGUGUAGAGGACAGUACACUGUUACUCAGAGUCCAUCAAUAUCAGCAGCUCAAGGAGAAGAAGUCAGAAUAAACUGUAAAAUCAGCAGUACAGUGUGUGGUAGAAAUUACUUACACUGGUACUUACAGAAACCUGGAGAAGCUCCUAAACUCCUCAUAUAUUAUGCAACAAGCCGAUACACUGGAACUCCAUCUAGAUUCAGUGGCAGUGGAUCUGGCACUGAUUUCUCUCUGACCAUCAGUGGAGUCCAGACUGAAGAUACAGGAGAUUAUUACUGUCAGAGUGAACACUGUCCUUGUCAGGCAUUCACCACAGCCACCUCCAUCUGUCACGUCACCCACAGCUCCACCCACUCGUUUUGCCUCACCGGAGUUCUGAUUCGCAUCACCUGA